This 462-nucleotide ribosomal RNA is filed under the name uncultured bacterium. RNAcentral describes it as "partial 16S ribosomal RNA". It matches the Rfam family "Bacterial small subunit ribosomal RNA", at positions 28 to 507 of the family's 1533-position model. The record is from RNAcentral.
GACGAACGCUGGCGGCGUGCUUAACACAUGCAAGUCGAACGGAAAGGCCCUUCGGGGUACUCGAUUGGCGAACGGGUGAGUAACACGUUGGUGAUCUGCCCUGCACUCUGGGAUAAGCCUGGGAAACUUGGUCUAAUACCCAAAAGGACCAUGCGCUUCGUUGUGUGUUGUGGUAUGCUUUUGCGGUGUGGUAUGUGCCCGCGGCCUAUCACCUUGUUGGUGGUGUAAUGUCGUACAAAGGCGACGUCGAGUAGCCGGCCUGAGAGGGUGACCGGCCACACUGGGACUGAGGAACGGACCAGACGGAUACGGGAGGCAGGGGUGGGGCAUAUUGCACGAAGGGCCGAAGCAGGAUGCAGCGACGCCGGGUGAGGGAUGACGGCUGUAGGGUUGUAAACCGCGUGCAAUAGGAACGAAGCGCCAGUGACGGUACCUAUAGAAGAAGCGCCGGCCAACUACGUG